UCCGUAGGUGGCAAGCGUUGUCCGGAUUUACUGGGCGUCAAGAGCGCGCAGGCGGUCGUUCAAGUCGCGUGUGAAAGCCCCCGGCUCAACUGGGGAGGGUCACGCGAGACUGAUCGACUCGAAGGCAGGAGAGGGAAGUGGAAUUCCCGGUGUAGUGGUGAAAUGCGUAGAUAUCGGGAGGAACACCAGUGGCGAAGGCGACUUCCUGGCCUGUUCUUGACGCUGAGGCGCGAAAGCUAGGGGAGCAAACGGG
RNAcentral lists this ribosomal RNA (253 nucleotides) under uncultured bacterium. RNAcentral's name for it is "partial 16S ribosomal RNA". It matches the Rfam family "Bacterial small subunit ribosomal RNA", at positions 524 to 776 of the family's 1533-position model. The record is from RNAcentral.